This 422-nucleotide ribosomal RNA is filed under the name uncultured bacterium. Its description in RNAcentral is "bacterial SSU rRNA". It matches the Rfam family "Bacterial small subunit ribosomal RNA", at positions 355 to 776 of the family's 1533-position model. The record is from RNAcentral.
UAGGGAAUAUUGGGCAAUGGUCGGAAGACUGACCCAGCCAUGCCGCGUGAAGGACGAAGGGUCUACGACUUGUAAACUUCUUUAGCUAGGGAAGAAAAAGGGAGUGCGCUCCUUAUUGACGGUACCUAGAGAAUAAGCACCGGCUAACUACGUGCCAGCAGCCGCGGUAAUACGUAGGGUGCAAGCGUUAUCCGGAUUUAUUGGGCGUAAAGGGUGCGUAGGCGGUUUGGUAAGUUAGAUGUGAAAGCUAUGGGCUCAACCCAUAGUUGCGUCUAAAACUGUCAGGCUAGAGGAUGCUAGAGGAAAGUGGAACUCGUGGUGUAGCGGUGAAAUGCGUAGAUAUCACGAGGAACACCAGUGGCGAAGGCGACUUUCUGGGGCAUUUCUGACGCUGAGGCACGAAAGCAUGGGGAGCAAACAGG